AUAGGGAGUCGGACCUGCCCAGUGAAACAUUUUAAACGGCCGCGGUACUCUGACCGUGCAAAGGUAGCAUAAUCAUUUGCCCUAUAAUUGAGGGCUAGUAUGAAUGGUUUGACAAGAAUAAAGCUGUCUCCAUGUAAUUACAUAGAAUUUUAUCUUUAGGUGAAGAAGCCUAAAUUAUAUUAAAAGACAAGAAGACCCUAUCGAGCUUUAAAAAAAUUAAUAAAGUAAUAUUAAAUAUCAAUUAAAAUAAAUUUUAUUAAAGAUUUUGGUUGGGGCGACAAAGGAACAAACAAAGCUUCUUUUUAAAUAAAAAACUUGCAGGCAAUGAUCCAGAAUAACUCUGAUUAAAGGAAUUAGUUACCGUAGGGAUAACAGCAUUAUCUUUUUUGAGAGCUCAUAUCGAAAAAAAGGUUUGUGACCUCGAUGUUGGACCAGGAUAUCCCGAAGAUGCAGAAGUCUUCAAAGGUUGGUCUGUUCGACCAUUAAAAUCCU
This 492-nucleotide ribosomal RNA is filed under the name Dulcerana granularis. Its description in RNAcentral is "partial 16S ribosomal RNA". It matches the Rfam family "Bacterial large subunit ribosomal RNA", at positions 1845 to 2597 of the family's 2925-position model. The record is from RNAcentral. Lineage: Eukaryota; Metazoa; Mollusca; Gastropoda; Littorinimorpha; Bursidae.